RNAcentral lists this ribosomal RNA (722 nucleotides) under uncultured bacterium. RNAcentral's name for it is "bacterial SSU rRNA". It matches the Rfam family "Bacterial small subunit ribosomal RNA", at positions 676 to 1397 of the family's 1533-position model. The record is from RNAcentral.
UAGCGGUGAAAUGCGUAGAGAUCGGGAGGAAUACCAGUGGCGAAGGCGGCCUUCUGGACUGACACUGACACUGAGGUGCGAAAGCGUGGGUAGCAAACAGGAUUAGAUACCCUGGUAGUCCACGCCGUAAACGGUGUCGACCAGCCGUUGGGUGCCUAGCGCACUUUGUGGCGAAGUUAACGCGAUAAGUCGACCGCCUGGGGAGUACGGCCGCAAGGUUAAAACUCAAAUGAAUUGACGGGGGCCCGCACAAGCGGUGGAGCAUGUGGUUUAAUUCGAUGCAACGCGAAGAACCUUACCUACUCUUGACAUCCUGCGAACUUGUGAGAGAUCACUUGGUGCCUUCGGGAGCGCAGAGACAGGUGCUGCAUGGCUGUCGCCAGCUCGUGUUGUGAAAUGUUGGGUUAAGUCCCGUAACGAGCGCAACCCUUGUCCUUAUUUGCCAGCGGGUAAUGCCGGGAACUCUAAGGAGACUGCCGGUGACAAACCGGAGGAAGGUGGGGACGACGUCAAGUCAUCAUGGCCCUUACGAGUAGGGCUACACACGUGCUACAAUGGCCGGUACAAAGGGUUGCGAGCUCGCGAGAGUCAGCUAAUCCCGAAAAGCCGGUCUCAGUCCGGAUCGGAGUCUGCAACUCGACUCCGUGAAGUCGGAAUCGCUAGUAAUCGUGAAUCAGAAUGUCACGGUGAAUACGUUCCCGGGCCUUGUACACACCGCCCGU